GCAUAUCCAUAAGCGGGAGGAAAAAGAAACCAACAGGGGAUUGCCUCAGUAACGGCGAGUGAAGCGGCAACAGCUCAAAUUUGAAAUCUGGCCCUUUCAGGGUCCGAGUUGUAAUUUGUAGAGGAUGUUUCGGGUGUGGCUCCGGUCUAAGUUCCUUGGAACAGGACGUCAUAGAGGGUGAGAAUCCCGUAUGUGACUGGUAGCCUAUGCCCAUGUGAAACUCCUUCGACGAGUCGAGUUGUUUGGGAAUGCAGCUCAAAAUGGGUGGUAAAUUUCAUCUAAAGCUAAAUAUUGGCCAGAGACCGAUAGCGCACAAGUAGAGUGAUCGAAAGAUGAAAAGCACUUUGGAAAGAGAGUUAAACAGUACGUGAAAUUGUUGAAAGGGAAGCGCUUGCAACCAGACUUGCAUGUAGCUGAUCAACCGGUGUUCUCACCGGUGCACUCAGUUGCGUUCAGGCCAGCAUCGGUUUCGACGGUUGGAUAAAGGCCUUGGGAAUGUAGCUCCUCUCGGGGAGUGUUAUAGCCCAGGGUGCAAUGCAGCCUGUUGGGACCGAGGACCGCGCUUCGGCUAGGAUGCUGGCGUAAUGGUUGUAAGCGACCCGUCUUGAAACACGGACCAAGGAGUCUAACAUCUAUGCGAGUGUUUGGGUGUCAAACCCAUACGCGUAAUGAAAGUGAACGGAGGUGAGAACCCUUAAGGGUGCAUCAUCGACCGAUCCUGAUGUCUUCGGAUGGAUUUGAGUAAGAGCAUAGCUGUUGGGACCCGAAAGAUGGUGAACUAUGCCUGAAUAGGGUGAAGCCAGAGGAAAACUCUGGUGGAGGCUCGCAGCGGUUCUGACGUGCAAAUCGAUCGUCAAAUUUGGGUAUAGGGGGCGAAAGACUAAUCGAACCAUCUAGUAGCUGGUUCCUGCCGAA
This 915-nucleotide ribosomal RNA is filed under the name Phoma mali. RNAcentral describes it as "LSU rRNA". It matches the Rfam family "Eukaryotic large subunit ribosomal RNA", at positions 38 to 965 of the family's 3401-position model. The record is from RNAcentral. Lineage: Eukaryota; Fungi; Ascomycota; Dothideomycetes; Pleosporales; Didymellaceae.